Molecule: long non-coding RNA, 516 nt
Filed under: Coturnix japonica (Japanese quail)
Lineage: Eukaryota; Metazoa; Chordata; Aves; Galliformes; Phasianidae
Description: lncRNA (ENSCJPG00005000103.1)
Source: RNAcentral
GCAUGAAACUCUCUUUUGCUAAUAUAUAUAUGUUCUUUUUUUUUUUUUUCCUGAGAAAUAUCUGCCCCUCACAUUAUAGAAUCAUGCAAAAAAGAUGUGAGAACAAAACAAGCAUUAUCAAAGAGGAACCAAAGAACAUGAUUAACACAGUGACAAACCCUUCAGACAAAUGGAAUUUUUCCUGUCCUAAACUGUGCUGGAUGGGAGGCGUUGCACAUUCAAAGCUCCCGUUUAAAUCUCAAGCAGAAAUGGCAGAGUCCACAGCUCCUGAACCUUCUGAUGUACCUUGGAGGCAUCCUGAGAGGCCCUGUCCCAGGGUAAAUCCCACUGAACAGGCAAUGGCUUCUCUGCAGCUAUUUGCAACUAAAACAACUUCUUCCUAGGCAAUAAAUUUUCUAACCUUUUCUUCUUCUAGUGGAGAAAUACCACCAUUCCAUCAUCAGUCUUGAAUGAGGAGCAAAGUGUAGCCAGGAGCACUGCUUCCUUGUAGCAUGCUUCUGAGUUGCCUUACAAGGG